Molecule: long non-coding RNA, 3775 nt
Organism: Ostrinia nubilalis (European corn borer)
Lineage: Eukaryota; Metazoa; Arthropoda; Insecta; Lepidoptera; Crambidae
Exons: 2
Source: RefSeq, a predicted model, not a curated record
UCAAUUUAUUAUUACUUGAAAAGGGAAACAAAUCGCACUAUGUUUUAAUAAAAAAUUUGUCACGUCUUGUUCGUACUCAAAUAACAAAGCAUCAUGGCACGAUAUACUUUUGUGAUGAUUGUAUGCUGUUUUUUUCGUCUGAAGAGAAACUUAAUAGUCACACUUGUUGCGGUGUGACUACCGUGCUUCCGGAACAUGGUAGUUGUCUUCAUUUUAAAAAUUUUAAUCGGAAACAGGAUGUUCCUUUUGUGGUGUACGCCGACUUUGAAACUCUACUUAAACCAAUAACGACUUGUGAGCCUGAUCCAAAUUGUAGUUUUACGUUAAAUCGUACACAACACAUUCCAGCAGCUUUUGCUUAUCGCAUUGUUUGCUCAUUUGAUAGCAAACAUAAUCGAUUCAUUUCGUACCGCGGUCGCGACUGUGUUCAAAAAUUUCUCAAAUGUCUGUAUAGAGACGUAGAAAAAAUUUAUGAAAUUUUAAACGUUGAAGUGCCAAUGGUGUUUAACGAAAGUGAUGCCAAAAUGCAUGCCAAAGCUGACGUGUGUCAUAUUUGCAAUAGUCUCCUGCUAUUUGACAAAGUAAGAGACCAUUGUCACUUGACAGGCUGCUACCGAGGUGCUGCUCACCAGUACUGCAAUUUACAGUACAGUCUCCCAAAACUAGUUCCUAUUUUUUUUCAUAAUUUAGCAGGCUAUGAUUGUCAUUUAUUCAUUAAGGAAUUGGCUGAUAGUUUGGGUCCUAUUAAAGUAAUACCUAAGAAUAAAGAAAACUAUAUUUCAUUCACAAAAUUUUUAAAAAUGUCUGAUGGGAAAUUUGCUCAAUUAAGAUUUGUAGACUCGUUUAAAUUUCUAGGCACAAGCUUAGAAAAAUUAGCAAACGGUUUAGACAAAGCAGAUUUCAUUCACUUAAAACAAUGUUUUGCUAAAGAAAACGAAUUUAAAUUAAUGACUCGCAAAGGUAUUUAUCCCUACGACCACAUGAAAUCUUGGAGAUCGUUCUCUGAGAGACAACUUCCUCCCAAAGAAAGCUUCUAUAAUACUUUAACUGACGAAGGUAUCAGCGAUGAAGAUUACAUGCAUGCACAAGUGAUUUGGGAUACUUUUAACAUAAGCAAUAUGGGAGAAUAUACAGAUCUUUAUCUCAAAACCGACGUCUAUUUACUAACAGACGUCUUUGAAAAUUUUAGAGCGGUUUGUAAAAAGCAAUAUCACUUAGAUCCUGCUUUUUACUUAACAGCUCCGAGCUUAUCAUUUGACGCAAUGUUGCUGAAAACAGGAGUAGAGUUAGAGUUAUUGUCUGACUUAGAAAUUAUACGUCUCAUACAGAAAGGAAUACGGGGUGGAAUUUGUUUAUGUUCUACUAGACAUGCUCAGGCGAAUAAUAUUUACAUGGAUAAUUAUGAUGAAACUAAAACGGAUUCAUUUCUCAUAUAUAUCGACUGUAAUAAUCUUUAUGGUUAUAGUAUGUGCCAGUCUUUGCCAGUAUCCCAUUUCAGAUUUUUGAAACAGCACGAAAUUGAUCAAUUACAAAUUAUGAACGUGCGCGACGAUGCGGAUUUUGGGUUUAUUCUUGAAGUUGAUUUAUUAUAUCCGGAAGAAUUGCAUUGUAUUCACAACGAUUAUCCAUUUUGCGCGGAGAAAUUCAUACCUCCGGGAGGUAAAACUUCUAAAUUAGUACCAAACUUAUAUUCAAAAUACCAAUAUGUGAUUCACUACGUUCAUUUAAAGACUUGUUUAAACCAUGGUCUAAUUUUACAAAAAAUUCAUCGAGUUGUGACUUUUAAACAAAGCAAAUUUUUAGCGCAAUAUAUAAAUCUUAACACAGAACUGAGAAAGAAAGCAGUAACACCAUUCCAACAAGAUUUAUUCAAACUUAUGAAUAAUUCUGUUUUUGGGAAAACAUUAGAAGACACUGAACGUAGAGUAGACAUCAAAUUAGUGAAUCAGUGGCAGGACGAUACCAAUCGAACAAACCGGUCUCUCUCUGCUGCAAAGUUAAUUUCUCGACCAAACUUCCAUAGCGCCACCAUUUUCUCCGAAAACUUAGUGGCUAUUCAAAUGAAACCGGAAAGAAUUAUAUUAGAUAAACCAAUUUACAUUGGCUUUGCCGUUUUAGAACUUUCUAAAAGUCACAUGUACCAGUUUCAUUACUCUGUAAUAAAGCCUCACUACGGAGAUAGAGUACGACUAUGCUAUACAGACACCGAUAGCUUUAUCUACCAAAUAGAAACAAAUGAUUUUUACGUAGAUAUAAAGCAACAUUUCUUACAAUAUUUCGAUACCAGUAAUUACGCUCUGAAAAAUCAGUAUGACCUUCCGAUUCGAAACAAAAAAGUACCUGGUCUAUUCAAAGACGAACUUGGCGGAUGUAUAAUGACUGAAUUUGUAGGGUUGAGAUCAAAGUUGUAUUGCAUUAAAACUGAUUCUAAUGUCAUUAAAAAGGCAAAAGGAAUAAGAAAAAAUGUUAUUAAGCACUUGGAGGCAUCUGAUUAUAGUAACGCAUUACUAAACGAUAAAAUAGUGCGUAGGAAAAAUAUUCUCUUUAAAUGUAUUAAGCAUAAUAUUUUUACACAGACUGUUAAUAAGAUUGCUUUGUCAAAUGCGGAUGACAAACGUUUUAUAUUGCAAGACAAAAUAUCCACAAUGGCAUGGGGGCAUAGCUCUUUGUUGUAAUAAAUAACUUUAAGCUGAAAUAAAUAUUAAAUAUAAAUAAUUUUUAUGUAAAAUAGGUACGUUAGUUUUAGACUUUAUUGUUAAAUUUAAUAUUAUAUUGCAUUUUCUGUUAGCAUUACUUUUUACUUACUUAUAAAAAUAAAUCAUUUUCAGAAUAUUUUUUUUUGGUUUUCUUACAAAAUUCCUUACCUGCUAAAUUAAAUUGAUAUUUUGUUUUUUUAUUUAUAAAAUUCAAGCAAAAGAAACAUUCGACAAUACUGAUUGUCAUGUUUAUGUACACGUGCUGAGUAUUAUGUAGGUCGUCAGUGACGACGAUAUUAAUUAUAAACUCAGCAAAAUGUGAUUGAUUCCUCAACUCGGUUAUUUUCUUACCAUUCACACUUUGUCUCUGACGAACGUUGUACUACAGUGCGAUUGCUUCUAUUCUUAUAAUGGCUCAAUCUCCUGACAUCAUGUUAUCCCAGUACGCUCAAGAUCCGCUGGAGGGAUUUACGCAAGAAUUUCCGGAGCUGUGUUCCAGACUCCACGCGCACGCUGUUCAAAGACAAGUGAAAAAGCCUAAGAAUAAAAAAGGUGUUUCAAAAAGAAGACUAGGACCGACGAAAUCCUAUGUGAUAACGAAAAAUCAGAAAGGAAAGAGGCUCAUCAAAAUAGAAGUUAUUGAUAUUGUGAGUGAUAUGGGAUCGGCUUCAUCCUCAGAAAUCACCGACCAAGAGGAUAAUGUGCUGAUCAGCGCACAAUACGUGGUCCAGGAUUCAUACGACGAAAUCAUGGACCUCACUGACAAUCUUGUUCAAAAAAUAUCGAAAAAACUUUGUGGUGAUAACUUUUAGUGUUUUUUAAGUGUAUAGUUUUAAUGUAAGUAUUAAGUUUUUAUUAAAGUGUAACGCAAACUUGUAAAUUAAUAUGUAAUUAUAAGAAUAGAAGCAAUCACACUGUAGUACAUUAACCGAAAAUUAUCAGUCUUUUUGUACUUAUUAUAUUAACUUAAUCAGGCAAUAAUUUUAUUUUCUUUCUUUUUUUCUUUUGGUGACGAUAAAAUUAAGAUUUCAUGUGUUUUUAUUACAAGUGUUUUUGAAAAUAUAGUCUUACAGUAACAA